Molecule: long non-coding RNA, 823 nt
Filed under: Takifugu rubripes (torafugu)
Lineage: Eukaryota; Metazoa; Chordata; Actinopteri; Tetraodontiformes; Tetraodontidae
Description: lncRNA (ENSTRUG00000028135.1)
Source: RNAcentral
GCCAACAAUAUCUCCCAGGUUCCUCUCCAAGAAGAAAGUUUGAUUCAUCAGAUGAACAUUAAUCAGGUAAUAGAGAUACAGACCAGCAGUGACAUGGUGGAGAUAGAAAACCAAACUCUUGAAAUGGUAUGCUAAAAUGAAUGAUCUAUAGUUUGUCACAUGCAAAGCCACCUCUCCAGAUGUGCACAGGGAGCCCUAAUGGCCCAUCAUGCUUGGUGAGAUAUCCCAAGACCUUUGGAGUGAACUGUUGUCCGUGUGGCCCCACGUAUGGACACCCCAGCCCACUAUUGCAAGGAACAACUGGAAGCUCUUUUACUGUGAAUCCACUCCAGUGUUAUCCGUCAAACGUGCCUUCAGGUGUGUGUAACCUGCAUUUUGUGUAGAGUUCAGGAGACAUCAACAGUUACAGGGAGGCCCUCAAAGUCAACAGCACCGAGAGCUGGUGGGACAAACACAAGAGAGCCUUGUAACUCCGUCCUGGGACCACAUCAGUCCCCCAGCAGAUCCAGAGGUUUUUCCCAACAACUCACUUCUAAGUGAUGAUUGCUGCAAUCCUUUUUGAAAUAAAAUGUGUUUUAAUUGUGAAAAGAAAGGGCUUGUGUUAUAAUGGAUAAGAGUUUGAUAUUUUACAAAGUGAACAACAGCAACUGCAUCCUUGGAAUGGGCACUAAUAGCAUGAUAUAUGUACGCUGAGUAGAGAUCUCUCUGCAUGCUUCCAUGCAUGUAUCCCGACCGUCUGAUUAAAUAAACCAUCUCCUACGCAGAUUCAUCGUUUACUUUUCGAAUCGGCUAAAAAUUCUGAAACAGACCACAAGCAUUGUCA